GCUGGGGUGACCUUCGGGGUCUGGGGGAGUUUGCUGGUGCAGCAUAAGCUAGCCCACCCUGACUAAUACACAUGCCAACGUCAGCCGUGACGGGAGGAUGUCACCUUAGGAAAACUGAGAUCCAAGGAAGCCCAGAGCCCCAGAACAAAGGCUCUCCAUCAAAGGGCUGCGGGCAGGUCAGGAGAAGUCUGGGAGAGGUCAGCAGGAGCAUCACAGGGUUACAGAAUCGGCCCACCGCCCUGAAGACCCCUGUGUGGUGCUCGUCGUUACCGUAAAUACAGCUCUUAGACCCUCUGCAUCCCGAGACGCGCCAUCGUUUCCACCUCCCCGUCUU
RNAcentral lists this long non-coding RNA (334 nucleotides) under Equus asinus (donkey). RNAcentral's name for it is "lncRNA (ENSEASG00005028088.1)". Lineage: Eukaryota; Metazoa; Chordata; Mammalia; Perissodactyla; Equidae. The record is from RNAcentral.